AUUGAACGCUGGCGGCAGGCCUAACACAUGCAAGUCGAGCGGAUGAAGGGAGCUUGCUCCUGGAUUCAGCGGCGGACGGGUGAGUAAUGCCUAGGAAUCUGCCUGGUAGUGGGGGCUAACGUCCGGAAACGGGCGCUAAUACCGCAUACGUCCUGAGGGAGAAAGUGGGGGAUCUUCGGACCUCACGCUAUCAGAUGAGCCUAGGUCGGAUUAGCUAGUUGGUGGGGUAAAGGCCUACCAAGGCGACGAUCCGUAACUGGUCUGAGAGGAUGAUCAGUCACACUGGAACUGAGACACGGUCCAGACUCCUACGGGAGGCAGCAGUGGGGAAUAUUGGACAAUGGGCGAAAGCCUGAUCCAGCCAUGCCGCGUGUGUGAAGAAGGUCUUCGGAUUGUAAAGCACUUUAAGUUGGGAGGAAGGGCAGUAAGUUAAUACCGUGCUGUUUUGACGUUACCAACAGAAUAAGCACCGGCUAACUUCGUG
This 484-nucleotide ribosomal RNA is filed under the name uncultured bacterium. RNAcentral describes it as "partial 16S ribosomal RNA". It matches the Rfam family "Bacterial small subunit ribosomal RNA", at positions 30 to 507 of the family's 1533-position model. The record is from RNAcentral.